Molecule: small RNA, 27 nt
Filed under: Bombyx mori (domestic silkworm)
Lineage: Eukaryota; Metazoa; Arthropoda; Insecta; Lepidoptera; Bombycidae
Description: ovarian small RNA-35637
Source: RNAcentral
UGUCAUCGGCAAAUCGAAGGUGUGACA